Molecule: ribosomal RNA, 489 nt
Filed under: uncultured bacterium
Lineage: Bacteria
Description: partial 16S ribosomal RNA
Rfam family: Bacterial small subunit ribosomal RNA
Source: RNAcentral
GAUGAACGCUAGCUACAGGCUUAACACAUGCAAGUCGAGGGGCAGCAUGGUCUUAGCUUGCUAAGGCCGAUGGCGACCGACGCACGGGUGAGUAACACGUAUCCAACCUGCCGUCUACUCUUGGACAGCCUUCUGAAAGGAAGAUUAAUACAAGAUGGCAUCAUGAGUCCGCAUGUUCACAUGAUUAAAGGUAUUCCGGUAGACGAUGGGGAUGCGUUCCAUUAGAUAGUAGGCGGGGUAACGGCCCACCUAGUCUUCGAUGGAUAGGGGUUCUGAGAGGAAGGUCCCCCACAUUGGAACUGAGACACGGUCCAAACUCCUACGGGAGGCAGCAGUGAGGAAUAUUGGUCAAUGGGCGAGAGCCUGAACCAGCCAAGUAGCGUGAAGGACGACUGCCCUAUGGGUUGUAAACUUCUUUUAUAAAGGAAUAAAGUCGGGUAUGGAUACCCGUUGGCAUGUACUUUAUGAAUAAGGAUCGGCUAACUCCGU